Loxodonta africana (African savanna elephant) is the source of this 64-nucleotide non-coding RNA. Lineage: Eukaryota; Metazoa; Chordata; Mammalia; Proboscidea; Elephantidae. The record is from Rfam.
GGUGGCAUAGUGGUUAAGAGUUUGGUUGCUAACCAAAAGGUCGGCAGUUCUAAUCUGCCAGCCA